CCUACGGGAGGCUGCAGUGGGGAAUAUUGCACAAUGGGCGCAAGCCUGAUGCAGCCAUGCCGCGUGUGUGAAGAAGGCCUUCGGGUUGUAAAGCACUUUCAGCGGGGAGGAAGGCGUUAAGGUUAAUAACCUUGGCGAUUGACGUUACCCGCAGAAGAAGCACCGGCUAACUCCGUGCCAGCAGCCGCGGUAAUACGGAGGGUGCAAGCGUUAAUCGGAAUUACUGGGCGUAAAGCGCACGCAGGCGGUCUGUCAAGUCGGAUGUGAAAUCCCCGGGCUCAACCUGGGAACUGCAUUCGAAACUGGCAGGCUAGAGUCUUGUAGAGGGGGGUAGAAUUCCAGGUGUAGCGGUGAAAUGCGUAGAGAUCUGGAGGAAUACCGGUGGCGAAGGCGGCCCCCUGGACAAAGACUGACGCUCAGGUGCGAAAGCGUGGGGAGCAAACAGGAUUAAUACCCUAGUAGUC
RNAcentral lists this ribosomal RNA (464 nucleotides) under uncultured Klebsiella sp. RNAcentral describes it as "bacterial SSU rRNA". It matches the Rfam family "Bacterial small subunit ribosomal RNA", at positions 338 to 795 of the family's 1533-position model. Lineage: Bacteria; Pseudomonadati; Pseudomonadota; Gammaproteobacteria; Enterobacterales; Enterobacteriaceae. The record is from RNAcentral.